CACUAGUCGUAGUCAAAGUGGUAAAUAAAGAUUUAAAAUACACGAACUUGUUUCCUCCGGCGAUCCUCCAUCAAGCCCUAGCCUUUCCCGCCGCUCCCAUCUCUCUCGGUUCUCCCGCGACCACGGGCGAUCGAUAGGUGGCAAGAAUAAGAGGCGCAGCUGCAGGAGAAGCGGCGACCGCUAAAGGUGAGAUCUUUCUUCUUCCCAGUUCGUUUUGGACGUUCUUUUCCCGACGACGCCCAAUCCUGUUGCUGAGUGAACCUACUCCUUACAUCGCUCGAAUGGCUGAAACCUUGAGCAUUACUGAUUCCAUAAAAAUAGAACGUGAUCAUGGAUCUCAGAGUGGUGAGUACAGGUUCGAUGUAUGUCUUCGAACAAGGGCCGAAUUUGACUGUGACAUGCUGAUCGUGGCUCUGCCGCAGGAAGUGAUGAUCAUGCUGUUUUAACCAGCCUGUAUCUAUUGAUUUCUCGGUGAUAAAGGACAAGAUUUUUGUGUGAUGCUACUGCUGGUAGUACAUAUUUGUUCCUGAAAAGGAUGGUGUGAGGAUGCAAUGGAUGUGGAGCAUGUCAUCUUUACUUGGAUUUCUUUGAAUGUUUUGUUGUUAUUUCUUCCUAGGACAUGUUAAGUCUAAAUUGAACUAUAAUUUCAAGUUCUUUUGUUUCGAUGAUUGUAAGAACCCUAGAAGAAGGUCAGGGUCUUAAUAGAAUCUCUUCUUCUGAACUUACAGGACCUGUUGUUAACUCAUUUUGGCUCAUUUGGAUGUAUCGUGAUGAAUGGCUAUUCUGCAACCGUCAAGUCCAACCAUUCUCCAUUUAGUGCAGACCAAGGGUUAGAGUUUGUAUCGGAGUGUGAUGGCCCUUUUAGUCCUAACUAUGAGAACUCUUGCUUGACUAUAUCAAGAUUUCUUAUGGACACAUCAUUAUUAGCAGAGCAUGCGAUCCAAUCCAAGCUGAGUGCAAAGCCAUAUCUGUUGAUCUUGUCCAUGCUGCACAUGACGGCUUCCAAAGGAUAUGGAGCCACUCAAGCUCGUUACAACUUUUCAACUAUCGGAAUAGUUCCAAUGGAGUCCCAUGAAAUUUGAGAUGCAUUUUGUCCAAUUGCUAUCAUUUAGCUGAGUGUUAAGCACAUUGUGUGGCAUAUACUUGCUAAUGUUUAUUAGAAUUAAAGAAGAGUCUCAGAACUAGGGAGGUGAAUCCAAAUCAUAUUGCAAAAUCUUUUGUACGAAUGAUAUACUUAAAGAAAAAGAAUGGAAUGAAAUUUAUUUUUGGUAAAGAAAUGAAAGAGAGAUUUGGGAACUGCUUUGCUUCUGCUCUUGCGUAUAUAACCAACUCAGUUUCUGCUUCUUGCCUUUCAGGUACCAUUAGACACUGACAGAGCAGGCAUUCCAGAAAAUCCAGUUAAAGAGGAUGUGAAAGAAGCUUUACCUAACAUCUCGGAAUCUGUCAACGAAACCAGCGACGCCUAUUGGAACGCACAACAACAAUGUAAAGGAGAAUGUAGUACCUAUUCAAGAAUUCAUAGACAAGAAAAUGUGUUUCUCAGUUGUCACAGAGUUCCGGUGAUAAAAUUCUUAGCGAGCAUGUUGGGACAGCUUUGAUGGAUAAAACUAAGCAAGUCCAAAGUUCCUAGCGGAAGCAAAUAGCAGGAGAUUGGAAAAACUAAUGGCAGAAAGAAAUUAUAAUUGUUGAUUUUGUUUGUGUGUGUUGGAACACUGAUGCCUCAAUAUGUGUUUUCCACUUGGGAUUAGGUGAGACAAGUAUCUAAAGAAAUGCCUCAAUAUGUUGGUCUGAAACUUGAAUGUAUUACAUGAGAUCUUGCUUAUUGAAAAUUUGACAUGAUAUCUAACACUAAAACACAGUUAUGUUUACUGGCUAGUUUUUGUUUAUGAGUGUUUCAAUUUAGAACAAUUGUUCUGAUGGUUAUGAAUGCUCAAUGAUU
This 1939-nucleotide long non-coding RNA is filed under the name Musa acuminata (dwarf banana). RNAcentral's name for it is "long non-coding RNA (MACU_LNC001776)". The record is from RNAcentral. Lineage: Eukaryota; Viridiplantae; Streptophyta; Magnoliopsida; Zingiberales; Musaceae.